CCUACGGGUGGCAGCAGUGAGGAAUAUUGGUCAAUGGGCGCGAGCCUGAACCAGCCAAGUAGCGUGAAGGAUGACUGCCCUACGGGUUGUAAACUUCUUUUAUAAAGGAAUAAAGUGAGGCACGUGUGCCUUUUUGUAUGUACUUUAUGAAUAAGGAUCGGCCAACUCCGGGCCAGCAGCCGCGGUAAUACGGAGGAGCCGAGCGUUAUCCGGAUUUAUUGGGUUAAAGGGGAGCGUAGAUGGGUUGUUAAGUCAGUUGUGAAAGUUUGCGGCUCAACCGUAAAAUUGCAAUUGAUACGGGCAGCCUUGGGUACAGUGGAGGUAGGCGGAAUUCGUGGUGUAGCGGUGAAAUGCUUAGAUAUCACGAAGAACUCCGAUUGCGAAGGCAGCUUACUAAACUGCCACUGACAUUGAUGCUCGAAAGUGUGGGUAUCAAACAGGAUUAGAUACCCGAGUAUC
Molecule: ribosomal RNA, 459 nt
Filed under: uncultured bacterium
Lineage: Bacteria
Description: partial 16S ribosomal RNA
Rfam family: Bacterial small subunit ribosomal RNA
Source: RNAcentral